This is a long non-coding RNA of Nicotiana tabacum (common tobacco), 672 nucleotides long. RefSeq lists it as uncharacterized. The record is from RefSeq and is a predicted model, not a curated record. Lineage: Eukaryota; Viridiplantae; Streptophyta; Magnoliopsida; Solanales; Solanaceae.
AUUUUUUAUUUUUUUAUGAUUUAUUUGUGGAAGAGUGGUGAGGGUCGGUAAGAGUUUGCCAUUAUAAAUGCUUGUGCCAUUUUGGAAUGUCAGCAAGAGAAAAAAUGGGUAAAUCACAUGUGAGAAGGUCUAUUUUCCCCAAACCCAGGAAAGAUUGAAAUAAAAUCUCAAAAUUCCUUCAGAUCUGGUUAUAUAUUUUAGGAGUUCGCGGACUCGUCCUUUAUUACAUUUUUUGGUGAAUUUUGGUUUGUAUUGUUUUCUUUUACUAAUUACUCACACUACAGCUUGUGCUGAUAGGACUCAACUUUUUGGGUCCAAGAUCUCUUAGGCCAGUUGCGAUACUGAAGAUUAGGAAUUUCUGGUUGUUCUAUGUCAUGGCUGAGCUUUAGGGAAGUAUAAUGAUUUAAGUAUGAGAUACUCUUUUGGGGUUCACAAAUCAGAUUUGGAGCAUCCAGAUGCCGAUUCGAGGGGCAAAGCAUCGCGGGCUAGAGUUUGGACCGGAUAGAGAUUUGGAGCAUCCGGAGGAUAAUUCGAGAGGCAGAGGAAUCGCGGGCUAGAGUUUGGACCGGAUAGAGAUUCAGGAGCGUCAGGUCCCGCUAGCUAGGGCUGAUUGCUUUCAGCAAGCUGUUCGAAGUUCACUAGGUAGCUGCUCGGCGUUCUCGCCACAGUGAU